This 499-nucleotide ribosomal RNA is filed under the name uncultured bacterium. RNAcentral describes it as "bacterial SSU rRNA". It matches the Rfam family "Bacterial small subunit ribosomal RNA", at positions 1 to 507 of the family's 1533-position model. The record is from RNAcentral.
CGCGACGUAGUUUGAUCAUGGCUACGAGGAUGAACGCUGGCGGCGUGCUUAACACAUGCAAGUCGAACGGGCUUUUUAUUGAAACCUAGUGAUAUAAAAGCUAGUGGCGGACGGGUGAGUAACGCGUGGGUAACCUGCCAUAUACAGGGGGAUAACACUUAGAAAUAGGUGCUAAUACCGCAUAAGCGCACAGUAUCGCAUGAUACAGUGUGAAAAACUCCGGUGGUAUAUGAUGGACCCGCGUCUGAUUAGCUAGUUGGUGAGGUAACGGCCCACCAAGGCGACGAUCAGUAGCCGGACUGAGAGGUUGAACGGCCACAUUGGGACUGAGACACGGCCCAGACUCCUACGGGAGGCAGCAGUGGGGAAUAUUGCGCAAUGGGGGAAACCCUGACGCAGCAACGCCGCGUGAAGGAAGAAGGUCUUCGGAUUGUAAAGCUCUGUUGCAGAUGACGAAGAAGUGACGGUAAUCUGUGAGGAAGCCCCGGCUAACUACGUG